CACAGACUGGGCAAAAACAACGUUUUCCUAGUGCUAGCUUGGGAGGUGCUUCUCUGUAUGUUAUCAGAGAAGAUGAGACCUGAGGGGAGGGAGGCUGAAGGAGUAUGCUGCCAUCCUGAGUACUAGAAAGGAAGAAAAGAAAAGCGAGGAAAGUGGCAGGAAUCUCUGAGCCACCUUAAGGAGAAAUGCAUUUGCUAAACACAGAAAAUGGAAGUCGAAUGCUUAAGCUUUUAAUUCAGCUGACUAGAAAUGUUGACGCUCAGGGGAUAAUAAUAAUACCUGGCAGAAUGUUGAAAAGGUGAAAAAGAAGCAGAGGAAAGAGAUUCAAAGUUUGUUGAAUUAUGUGCCAGAGGAGGAGCGCAUGCACAGAAGUUUCUCACAGUCCUGUUGUUUCUACGAGUGCAGCGGCCUAAUGUGUCCGGAAUUCACACCUCUGCAGUAGGCUUCCGGUUGCUUCCUAUUAACAACUCAUUCCAUGAAAACAAUUCUAUGUGUGCUGACAUUGAAAAAUAACAUCAACAUGAAGCCCAUUUAUCAGGAGCAGAAAUUAAUGACUUUACAAUAUUCCAACACAACACCAACUGAAUCUAUGCAAACGCUACACCAAAAGACUCUAUUUCAAAAAAGACAGAAUGUAUAUACAUCAGGACAUAGAACUUCAACAUUUUAUAGUGAGGAGGAGAAGUAUAAUUAAAUCCACAAAAUAAAGAGACUCCUAACAGCAAGGUAAAUGUCUAGAGAAAAAUCAGAAAAGAGCAUCCUCCACCCCUGAGUCUUCUAACAGUAAGAAGAAAAGAAGAACGAUAUGCUAGAAGCUUUGACCAGACUGCGGUUUCAGCUGCAAACACAAUUAAGAGAAAGUGAGCUAAGACUUCAACUCAGUUUGGGAAUCCGGGGCCCAGCAGACUAAACUCCACAUGCAGUUUUCAUACAAAUCCAUGGUUUUCAGACUUUCCUCAGAAAGAUCUGAAAUUUCUUCAAGUCGUUUACCUUCUUUUCCCAAGGUAUAUGUCUUCUAGAGCUAUACUUUCUAAACAGGCACAGCAGGCAAGCACCUCUAAAAUCCCAUGUAUUUUAAUUGUAUUCAAAGGCUAAAUAAAAAGAGGAAUAAAAAUCCA
Mastomys coucha (southern multimammate mouse) is the source of this 1118-nucleotide long non-coding RNA. RefSeq lists it as uncharacterized. The record is from RefSeq and is a predicted model, not a curated record. Lineage: Eukaryota; Metazoa; Chordata; Mammalia; Rodentia; Muridae. The transcript is spliced from 6 exons.